Molecule: RNA transcript, 5544 nt
Organism: Oryzias melastigma (Indian medaka)
Lineage: Eukaryota; Metazoa; Chordata; Actinopteri; Beloniformes; Adrianichthyidae
Gene name: ELKS/Rab6-interacting/CAST family member 1
Exons: 23
Source: RefSeq, a predicted model, not a curated record
GCGUGGCGAGUGGACUCUCGUGAACGCGCACAGGAGGCUUGACGUCACUGAAGCGCCCUGGUUCUCCUGAGCCGCUUGUACUGCUGGCAAAAGAUGGAAAAAUCUGAUUGACAUUUAUCCAACAUUUCACGCCAAAUUGCCAUUUUCGACACCCGUGUGCAUUUGACAAAAGGACGGCGACCUGGAACUAAUCCGAGCUCCACCGGACAGCAAGAAAGGCCAGCGUAAUAUUUUCAAGACUGAUCUUUAAAGUGAAGCUGCAGAGACCAUGAAUGAUCUGCUUACGGCGUCCAACUAAACCAGAAAAAUCCCCAAACUAAAUCCACCUAACAGCAAAAAGGCAGAAGAAAAUCACCUGCAGGGAAACACCUACAGAUAAUUUGGAUUGUGCAUCAGUUCCACUACAACAUCAGGUUUUCCCAGUUAGCUCAACAUGUACGGAAGUGCUCGUUCCGUCGGCAGGGGGGAUGCCAACCACGGUGGAGGAAGAGAUGCAGGUGGUUCUAGCAGUCAGGGGUCUGGACGCUCCCCCCGCCUUCCCCGCUCUCCCAGGAUGGGACAUCGGCGCACCAACAGUACAGGCGGCAGUGGAGGAGGACCUGGAGGAGCAGGGGGCAAAACACUUUCUAUGGAAAACAUCCAGUCCCUCAAUGCUGCAUAUGCCACUUCAGGACCCAUGUAUCUAAGUGAUAAUGAGGUCGCCAUGGCAGGGGAUCAUGUAGGCAGAAGUGGCGGGACGGGGACCACCAUAGGUAGACAAAGGGUGACAUAUGGGUCCAGGGGCAGCAGCGGCGGAGUGGUAGCGGCUAGCACUCCUAAUAUUUCCACAUCAAUGCCUGCUAACGCUGUGCUGCCAGCAGGUAUGAUGGCAGGUGAUGCUCUAGCUUUCGGGGACCACCACAUGGCCUCCACAGUCCCCCAUUCUCUGCGGCAGGCAAGAGACAACACCAUACUUGAUCUGCAGGCCCAACUUAAAGAGGUUCUUCGCGAAAACGAGAUUUUACGGAGGGAUGCGGAAGUCAAGGAAAGUAAACUCAGUUCCUCUAUGAAUUCUAUCAAGACUUUCUGGAGCCCCGAGCUGAAAAAGGAGCGAGCUCUCAGGAAAGAUGAAGCUUCUAAGAUCGCAGUUUGGAAGGAGCAAUAUCGUGUGAUCCAGGAUGAAGCACAGCAUCUCCAGAUGACGGUUCAGGCUCUCCAGGAUGAGCUGAGGAUCCAAAGGGACCUGAACCAGCUGCUGCAGCAAGACCCAGCCAGCCAGGGGAGGGACCUGGCCCUGACCUCUGAACCUACAGAAGAGAACUAUCGGCGGCUGCACGGGGAGCACGAGAGACAGGCCAAAGAGCUCUUCCUGCUGCGGAAGACGCUUGAGGAAAUGGAGCUGAGGAUUGACACGCAAAAACAAACCCUGGUGGCCAGAGACGAGUCCAUUAAGAAACUUUUAGAGAUGCUGCAGAGUAAAGGACCGUCUGCCAAAGCAUCAGAGGAGGACCAGGAGAGGACCAGGAGACUGGCUGAUGCUGAGAUGCACCGCCAUCAUCUGGAGAGUUUGUUGGAGCAGAGAGAAAGAGAAGUUACAGCACUUAGAGAGGAACUUCACCGUCGUUACGAGGGAACCCCAGAAUCUACCAAAACAAAGGCUCUACAGACUGUUAUCGAUAUGAAGGAUGCAAAAAUCAACUCCAUGGAGCGGAGUCUGCGGGACAUGGAGGAGGAGCUGCUGAUGCUGAAAUCAAACGGCCUUCUGAGCUGCGAGGAGCGUCAGGAGGAGAUGAAGCAGAUGGAGGUGUACCGCAGUCACACCAAGUUCAUGAAGAACAAGAUGGAGCAGGUGAAGCAGGACCUUUCCAGAAAGGACACCGAGAUGCUCGGUCUGCAAACGAAGCUGGAGACCCUGACCAACCAGUUCUCAGACAGCAAACAACAUAUUGAAGUUCUCAAGGAAUCUCUUACUGCUAAGGAGCAACGAGCUGCCAUCCUACAGACAGAGGUUGAUGCUUUACGUCUGCGCCUGGAGGAGAAGGAGGCAACUCUAAACAAGAAGAGCAAGCAGAUCCAAGAGAUGUCAGAGGAGAAGGGAACCCUCAACGGAGAAAUCCACGACCUAAAGGACAUGCUGGAGGUUAAGGAGCGCAAGAUUAAUGUACUACAGAAAAAGAUUGAGAACCUGCAGGAGCAACUCAGAGACAAAGAGAAGCAGAUGAGCAGCCUGAAGGAAAGAGUGAAGUCUUUGCAGGCCGACACUUCCAACACCGACACUGCUCUCACAACCCUGGAGGAGUCGCUUUCCGAAAAAGAGCGCAUCAUCGAGCGUCUGAAGGAGCAGCGCGAUCGAGACGACCGGGAGAAGACGGAGGAACUCGAAUGCACCAAAAAGGAACUGAAAGAGUUGAAGGAGAAGUUAAGUUUGCUGCAGGGAGACCUUUCAGACAGAGAGACUUCUCUCUUGGACCUGAAGGAGCAUGCGUCUUCCCUGGCCUCCUCGGGACUGAAGAAAGAUUCAAAACUGAAAAGUAUGGAGAUCACUUUGGAGCAGAAACGGGAGGAGUGUCUAAAACUGGAAAACCAGCUAAAGAGAGCUCAGAAUGCAACGCUGGAAGCACAAGCCAACACAGAGCUGGCCGAGCGCAUCAAGAGUCUGGAGCGAGAAGUGAGUCGCUACAAAGAAGAUUCUGUGAAGGCUCAGGCAGAGGUGGACCGCCUUCUUGAAAUCCUCCGAGAAAUGGAAAACGAGAAGAACGAUAAGGACAAAAAGAUCAGCGAGCUGGAGAGUUUGGCUUCCAGGCAGAUGAAGGACCAGACGAAAAAGGUGGCAUCGCUGAAGCACAAGGAGCAGGUGGAGAAGAGCAAGAACGCCCGUCUGAUGGAGGAGGCCAGGAAGAGGGAGGACAACAUGUCUGAAUCCUCCCAGCAGGUAAAGGACACCCUGCGUCAGAAGUCGGAGCGCAUCGAGGAGCUAGAGGAGGCGCUGAGGGAGAGCGUUCAGAUAACAGCUGAGAGAGAAAUGGUGCUGGCGCAGGAGGAGGCUGCCCGCUCGCUACAGGAGAGACAGAAGCACUCACUCAAACCAAUGCAUGAGUCCAACCUCGCCCACUUUAAGUGGUCUAAGAUGGAGGAGCUGCUGGGCGCCAUGGAGAAGGUGAAACAGGAGCUGGAGUCGAUGAGGGCCAAGCUGGCCUCCACCCAGCAGUCUCUGUGUGAGAAGGAGGCGCAUCUCACAACCCUGCGAGCCGAGCGCAGGAAACAUCUGGAGGAGGUGCUGGAGAUGAAGCAGGAGGCGUUGUUAGCUGCCAUCAGUGAGAAGGACGCCAACAUCGCGUUGCUGGAGUUAUCGUCCUCUAAGAAGAAGAAGACCCAGGAUGAGGUGGCCAUGCUGAAGCGGGAGAAGGACCGACUGGUGCAACAGCUCAAGCAGCAGACUCAGAACAGGAUGAAGCUCAUGGCAGACAACUACGAGGACGAUCACCUAAAGACUGCAACUGACCACACGAACCACAAACCUUCUCCAGACCAGGAUGAUGAGGAGGGUAUUUGGGCAUAGCCGGCCUGUUGCCCUCCUCCUCUCUCUCACAUCUGUUUUGUUCCGAAUGAUGAUUCCCCCUCUUUUAGCCUUGUGCCAGAACCGCAGCAAGCUCAAACUCUACAUCGCCCACUUGACCGACCUCUGCCACGACCGAGAUCCCGGCAUCCUCAGUCAGCUGACCCCGCCCCCUCACUAUCACCACAGUGACCCAGAAGGCUGGGAGGAGGAGCUUCAGAAGAUGAGCAUCGAACAGCUGAAGCAGGAGCUGGAGUUGUGUGAGAGAGAGAGCGGAGAGCUGCAGGAGUUUGCCAACGCCGUUCUGCAGCAGAUCGCAGACUGCUGUCCCGACAUCCUGGAGCAGGUUGUCAAAGCCCUGGAGGAGUCCUGAUGACCACAGCGGGCUCCGCUCAGGAGUUUCUCCCCUCCAAAGCAUGACUGACACUCGGGGGGGUGUUAUCAUUCGUCCCACUGGACUCUGCCUCUUUAAGCCGUUGAAGCCAGAAGUGCUUUUUAGCUUCACUGUUGCUCCGAGGAGAGAGUGUAAAACCAAAUUAACAUCCAGGAUUUAGUGCACAAACCUGAACUUUAAUCACAAAUCCCCCUUCAAAAUCCAUGACGUUUACAGGUUAAAGAGGACACCCCCACUCUGGAGGUGGUCUGCUCAUCCACUAAACUAAAAAAAAAAGAGGUACAGGAAAGCACUUUCAGUCAGGAAGGCGGUGCAGAGUGGAGCUUAGUGUUUUUUAUUUUUUUGAACCAAAUGAGCACAAACGCUCCUAAAAAGUUGGUACACAGUCAGUGGCUGGAUCAUUGGCAUUAGAGGGGGGGGGGUCAAGGCCUGUUUGUUUUUUUAAUCAAAGAUCAGAUUUCAUGUUCUCAGUGAGAGAGAGGAUGGAAUAUAAAAAAAAAAAACUCUAUUUGUUGGUGGUUAUGUAUUAAUCUCUGGAUGGUUUUGCACACGGCAUCCACUUGUUUAUGAGGUAUGCAAUGUUUCUUUAGAGAACGUUCUCGUGGCCUUGGAGCAUGCACAAAGACCAGUACUGGACCUAAAGCAGGGAUCUUUAUUCCUCUGUCACAAUGGUGCUAAGGCAUGAAGUAAAGAGUUUUCAAAUAACACUAAUUCAGUUUCUGCUAAAGUUUCAAUAGGUGUCACUUAAACCUCACCAGAUCUUUUAAUUUACCAAAAAAAAAAAAAAAAGAUAAUUUUUCCUCCUUUUUUCUUUAGCGGUGAGGUUUAAUCAAGUGCAUCUACUUUUACGGAAAAUCUUUUCAAUAGAGUUCGACAUUUUAAAUCAGUUUGUAAAUAAAGUGAUAUUUAACACGUACUGUCACUGAAUAAAGUCAAGUGGAAGGUGUUGUGCAUUCAAAAAUACAUAUUAAAAGAUAAAAGCAGUGCAGUCGUCGGGAUGUGUGUGUGUGUGUGUGUGUGUGUGACAGUGCUGCAGGAAAUCAUGUUCUUCAUAUGGAAAAAAUAAAUACUGUUUACUGUAUGGAUAUGCAUUGAAUGUUUGUACAGAUUCUCCAAGAGUUUGUUGCUCUGAAAAAAAACAGUCAAAAUAAUUUAAGUCUGAAUGUUUUUAAGCAAAGACUGUGUGAUAGGAAAGCACUUUCCUUAUAUAUUUUUUUUUGGCAUAAACAUAUUUUCACUGAAAGGUGACAUCUUAGGACUGUUUCUUUUUUUUUGUAGAUGAUUUGAAUUUUUUGAAUAAAAAGCACAGAAUCUGCGAACACCCAGAAAAAAAAGAACCUGUCAGAUGGAUUUCUGAGUGUCGGUGGCCUGUGCGUCAGUCCUUGCCUUAAGGUGGGGUCGUCUCUGCUUUACCUCAGCUCUUUACUGCGUGGGUCACAGAGCUGCUGCGUGAGAGGCUUCAGUCAACUUCUAUGUGUGUUUGCUCUUUUGCAUUUGCGUCAGACUCGUACUGCCUUGUGUCUGUUACUAAAUCAAACUAAAAAAGGAAAGUGAAACAGACGUGAGUUAUUCCGAUUUUGUAUGUAUGUAAAUAAAGAAAUUAUAAGCCUGUGGA